AAUUGUUACUUUGGCAGAUAAAUGCAAUAAAUUUAGAAUUUAUUUAUGUGAUAUUUUUACAAGUAAUA
RNAcentral lists this transfer RNA (68 nucleotides) under Hygrotus pectoralis. Its description in RNAcentral is "transfer RNA-Leu". The record is from RNAcentral. Lineage: Eukaryota; Metazoa; Arthropoda; Insecta; Coleoptera; Dytiscidae.